This is a small nuclear RNA of Eutrema salsugineum, 164 nucleotides long. It matches the Rfam family "U1 spliceosomal RNA". Rfam says of the family: U1 is a small nuclear RNA (snRNA) component of the spliceosome (involved in pre-mRNA splicing). Its 5' end forms complementary base pairs with the 5' splice junction, thus defining the 5' donor site of an intron. The record is from Rfam. NCBI's taxonomy places the organism in Eukaryota, Viridiplantae, Streptophyta, Magnoliopsida, Brassicales, Brassicaceae.
AUACUUACCUGGACGGGGUCAACAAUCGAUCAAGAAGAACUGUGGCCUAGGUUAGUGACUUCCAUUGCACUCUUCGGAAGUGUGCUUUAGCCUAAGGUCUCCCCAAUUGGGAGAGCCUGCGUCGUUAUUUGUUGUGUGGGGGUCUGUGUUCGCGCGGCCACUCC